Molecule: ribosomal RNA, 491 nt
Filed under: uncultured bacterium
Lineage: Bacteria
Description: partial 16S ribosomal RNA
Rfam family: Bacterial small subunit ribosomal RNA
Source: RNAcentral
AGUGAACGCUGGCGGUAGGCCUAACACAUGCAAGUCGAACGGCAGCACAGUAAGAGCUUGCUCUUACGGGUGGCGAGUGGCGGACGGGUGAGGAAUACAUCGGAAUCUACUUUUUCGUGGGGGAUAACGUAGGGAAACUUACGCUAAUACCGCAUACGACCUACGGGUGAAAGCAGGGGAUCUUCGGACCUUGCGCGAUUGAAUGAGCCGAUGUCGGAUUAGCUAGUUGGCGGGGUAAAGGCCCACCGAGGCGACGAUCCGUAGCUGGUCUGAGAGGAUGAUCAGCCACACUGGAACUGAGACACGGUCCAGACUCCUACGGGAGGCAGCAGUGGGGAAUAUUGGACAAUGGGCGCAAGCCUGAUCCAGCCAUACCGCGUGGGUGAAGAAGGCCUUCGGGUUGUAAAGCCCUUUUGUUGGGAAAGAAAAGCAGCAGGUUAAUACCCCGCUGUUCUGACGGUACCCAAAGAAUAAGCACCGGCUAACUUCGU